RNAcentral lists this ribosomal RNA (380 nucleotides) under uncultured bacterium. Its description in RNAcentral is "bacterial SSU rRNA". It matches the Rfam family "Bacterial small subunit ribosomal RNA", at positions 537 to 916 of the family's 1533-position model. The record is from RNAcentral.
AGCGUUAAUCGGAAUUACUGGGCGUAAAGCGCAUGCAGGUGGUUUGUUAAGUCAGAUGUGAAAGCCCGGGGCUCAACCUCGGAAUUGCAUUUGAAACUGGCAGACUAGAGUACUGUAGAGGGGGGUAGAAUUUCAGGUGUAGCGGUGAAAUGCGUAGAGAUCUGAAGGAAUACCGGUGGCGAAGGCGGCCCCCUGGACAGAUACUGACACUCAGAUGCGAAAGCGUGGGGAGCAAACAGGAUUAGAUACCCUGGUAGUCCACGCCGUAAACGAUGUCUACUUGGAGGUUGUGGCCUUGAGCCGUGGCUUUCGGAGCUAACGCGUUAAGUAGACCGCCUGGGGAGUACGGUCGCAAGAUUAAAACUCAAAUGAAUUGACGG